RNAcentral lists this ribosomal RNA (253 nucleotides) under uncultured bacterium. RNAcentral's name for it is "partial 16S ribosomal RNA". It matches the Rfam family "Bacterial small subunit ribosomal RNA", at positions 524 to 776 of the family's 1533-position model. The record is from RNAcentral.
UACGAAGGUGGCAAGCGUUGUUCGGAUUUACUGGGCGUACAGGGAGCGUAGGCGGUUGGAUAAGCCCUCCGUGAAAUCUCCAGGCUUAACCUGGAAAGUGCAGAGGGGACUGUUCAGCUAGAGGAUGGGAGAGGAGCGCGGAAUUCCUGGUGUAGCGGUGAAAUGCGUAGAUAUCAGGAGGAACACCGAUGGCGAAGGCAGUGAUCUGGGCCGGUACUGACGCUGAGGAGCGAAAGCGUGGGUAGCAAACAGG